UUGUCGACUAGAGAGGUGUACGUGCAAAUGGGAACGCGUGCGCAAAGCGCAUAGCAAAAAUUGUAAUAAAUAUAUAAAUAUAUACUGCUACGUAUCAUCCGAUGCGUGAGCGAAUUAUGGAGUUCGCGUAAAAACGUUCUGCCAUUCACGUGUGACACUCAUUGUGCACACACGACGUCGGAGUCCGUGCGAUAAUAAUAAUUUUCGUGCGAUCAAAACACUCUGACACUGCUGACUGAUUCUCUUCGCGGAAACAGACUGCGAUCAAUGGACUUUCGGGUAACACCGUGGUCUUAAAUUACUCGAACGUUCCGUUACGGGGGGGCUUCACAUAAGGUGGACACCCCGGGCGAUCGUUCCAAUUAUGUCUUUACCGUGCGGGACCAACGUCGGUAAAAUUAUGACACUAUGGAACUUUCGUUUGUGCGCCGCGCUCGAUUCAUAUGAAUCGUGUCGCUAUCGGGACGUUUGAACCACACAACAAAUACAUACCUCCAAUAUCGCAAACGAUCCAUUAGCUCUUGAAGCUUUUGGUGUUGUACUAAUUGUAACUAUCAAACCAUACAUAUAAUCCGCGCCGGUAUGUCUUCGGACGCACACCGGACGGGACUUGUAUAAAUUUAUAACCACCCUGAACGGUG
Molecule: unclassified non-coding RNA, 641 nt
Filed under: Nosopsyllus fasciatus
Lineage: Eukaryota; Metazoa; Arthropoda; Insecta; Siphonaptera; Ceratophyllidae
Description: sequence contains ITS1
Source: RNAcentral